RNAcentral lists this ribosomal RNA (253 nucleotides) under uncultured bacterium. Its description in RNAcentral is "partial 16S ribosomal RNA". It matches the Rfam family "Bacterial small subunit ribosomal RNA", at positions 524 to 776 of the family's 1533-position model. The record is from RNAcentral.
UACGUAGGUGGCAAGCGUUGUCCGGAUUUAUUGGGUUUAAAGGGUGCGUAGGCGGCCCUGUAAGUCAGUGCUGAAAUAUCCCGGCUUAACCGGGAGGGUGGCAUUGAUACUGCGGGGCUAGAGUAUGGGAGAGGGAAGUGGAAUUUCCGGUGUAGCGGUGAAAUGCGUAGAUAUCGGAAGGAACAUCAGUGGCGAAAGCGACUUCCUGGACCAAUACUGACGCUCAUGUGCGAAAGCGUGGGGAGCAAACAGG